Molecule: non-coding RNA, 3468 nt
Organism: Podarcis lilfordi (Lilford's wall lizard)
Lineage: Eukaryota; Metazoa; Chordata; Lepidosauria; Squamata; Lacertidae
Source: the annotation of a GenBank genome assembly
GUCAAUGACCCUUGUAGUAAAAAAAUUGCAGUUGCCAGUUCAAAGUGGGGAGGAAUUGAACAAGAGGGAUUGAUAAUAGAGCAAGAACAUGUGAUGGCCAGCAGAGGUCAGUGUUUCUACAUUGAAACAGGGAAAGGGGAAAUGGAAGGAAAGAUGUACCAGGGAAAAGAGAGCCUGAGCAUCACUGGAAUACAGGACCAGCCCAAGUGCCUCUGCUGGGGCAACUUGCUCCUCUGUCUACCUCCAUUCCCAAAGGGAAUGAUUUAGCAGUACAAUCACUUGCCUGGGGCAGUCUGAAAGAGACUGCAGCUCAGUCUCCAGGAUCCAUGUUGAUCCCACAAGAGGAUCUGGCAUUUGUAUUCCCCUGGUGCCCCAAGUGAUAUUCCUCAAUAUUAGAUUUCAAAACCCAAAACUUUAAAAUCCAAAAGAUCCAGUUCCAAUUAAUUUGAUAUGGUUGCAAUACUAUGAAACCCAAGGGAAAAGAAACCUCGAAUACCUAAUGGUCAGGGGUCCCUUUACCUUUUACCUCGGGUUACAUACGCUUCAGGUUACAGAUUCUGCUAACCCAGAAAUAGUACCUUGGGUUAAGAACUUUGCUUCAGGAUGAGAACAGAAAUCGUGCUCCGACGGUGCGGCGGCAGCAGGAGGCCCCAUUAGCUAAAGUGGUGCUUCAGGUUAAGAACAGUUUCAGGUUAAGAACGGACCUCCAGAACGAAUUAAGUACUUAACCUGAGGUACCACUGUAUUUGCAUUUAAACCUUUCUCAAGGUGGUGUACAUGGUUACACACCCUCCUCAUUUAAUUCCCACAACAACAACCCUGUGUGGUAGACUAAGGCUGAGAAAGGGACGUAGGUGGCUCUGUGGUCUAAACCACUGAGCCUCUUGGGCUUGCCAAUCGGAAGGUCGGUGGUGAGCUCCCAUUGCUCUGUCCCAGCUCCUGCCAACCUAGCAGUUCAAAAGCAUACUGAUGCAAGUAGAAAAAUAGGUACCGCUGCAGCGAGAAGGUAAACGGCAUUUCCGUGCACUCUGGCACUCGUCACGGUCCUCCGUGUGCUAGUAGUGGUUUAGUCAUGCUGGCCACAUGACCUGGAAAGCUGUCUGCGGACAAGCGCCAGCCCCCUUGGCCUGAAAGCGAGAUGAGUGCUGCACCAGGGGUCCUUUACCUUUACCUUAAGGCUGAGAGGAAGCGACUGGCCCAAGGUCACCUAGUGAGCUUUGUGGCUGAGUGGGGAUUUGAACCCAGGCCUCCCAGGUCCUAGUCCAACACACUAACCUCUACACCAUGCUGGCUUUCAUUUAACAGUUCAGUUUUCUUCUAGUGAUUCAUACAUGGGAUUGCAUUGUAAGUCAUGCUUGGAGUAAGCCCCUUGAAAUCAGUGCACUUACUGACUUGCCCAUUGAUUGGAUUUGGAUUUGAUAUCCCGCUUUUUCACUACCCAAAGGAGUCUCGAAGCGGCUAACAUUCUCCUUUCCCUUCCUCCCCCACAACAAACACUCUGUGAGGUGAGUGGGGCUGAGAGACUUCAGAGAAGUGUGACCGGCCCAAGGUCACCCAGCAGCUGCAUGUGGAGGAGCAGGGAAGCGAACCCGGUUCCCCAGAUUACGAGACUACCGCUCUUAACCACUACAUCACACCGGCUCACCAGAUUACCAGUGGGGCUGCUCUGAGUAGGUAUUGGUUACGAUCCAAGGUUUCCGCUUUUCUUCACCACUGAUGGACUUUUCCUACCUUUCCUUUCCAGGUGCAUUUAAGAACUUCAACACUAAUUAGGUAAUAUAAUAUACCAAUCCCCCCUUCUCCCCCUGUCCCCAGCGCCACCAGUCAUUCAGCUUAUUUUUGUUCUGUCAUUUCCUGCUAUUAAGAAGUUACCUGCAAGAGAUCUUUUCCUAGAACUCAAGGACUCAUUACCAAAUUUACCCUAUAAUCUCCUUGAUGACAGAAGAAAGCGAUUAUCACAGGGUUCUUUCUGAAAUAGCUAAUCACAUAGCACUUCUGCCAAACAUGAAUGAAGUCAUCAUUUAUAUAAUGGCACCUCUUAAUAUCUCCCUGUCAAAUUAGGGAACAUCCUUUUAAAACUCAUUGGGAUGUAAUACUAUUUUCAUUUUUUUUAAGGAUACAAUAUAGCUUGAAUAUGAGAGAGAGAAAGAAUACAGUGGUACCUCGGUUUACAUACACUUCAGGUUACAUACGCUUCAGGUUACAGACUCCGCUAGCCCAGAAAUAGUACCUCGGGUUAAGAACUUUGCUUCAGGGUGAGAACAGAAAUCGCAUGGCAGCAGCGGGAGGCCCCAUUAGCUAAAGUGGUGCUUCAGGUUAAGAACAGUUUCAGGUUAAGAACGGACCUCCGGAACGAAUUAAGUACUUAACCCAAAGUACCACUGUAUCCCGUUUCCCACAGUGACCAAUCUGAUUUCUUUCUUUCUUUACUAUACAUAAUUUAUAACCUGUACCUUAAAAAAAAAUUUGUUCCCUAGGCAGUAGCAUAAAACAAAAAGUGCAUUUUUACAAUAACAAUUUUAAGAUAUUUUAUUAACGCACUAAAUUUAACAUGUGUAUGCUUUAUUUUACUGUUAUUAACAUGCCAAAUUAAAACAGUAACAGUUCAUCCAAAUAGACAAGGGAAUCAAACUUCUCUAAGUUAAAAAUGUGCUAAAUUGCCAGUUCUUAAAGGCCUAGGGGGAAAAGGAAUUAUUUCAGGGGUGAGGACAUUGUUUUAUAAAGUUGAUGGUUUCUUUUUAAUUGUGUGUGUAAGUCGCUAGGACUUUUGUAUUAGGUGAUUAUAAUAAUGAUAAAUAUAAAAUAUUUAUAAUAAUGAUAAAAAUAGCAAGUUCUCCAGGUGGACCUAUGAUUGGAGAGGGUAUUCCAAGGGCUUCCCACUGUUUUCCCACUUCUGUCUUUUGUGUGUGUGUGUGUGUGUGUGUGAGAGAGAGAGAGAGAGAGAGAGAAAACACCAUGGAUCUGUAUAAGGGCGUAGUGAUAAUUCUAGAAUCAUAGAAGGGUUUUAUUUUCAUCCCUUCCUGUGUCUCUAUAAGGAGCCACCUGCUACAGUACUGAGUGAAUAGACAUGUUCCUGUGUCACAGACUUCCAGCACUAGAGCAUCUUGAGGAGAUAGCCUCUAGGUCCAUCUUCCAAGGCUUAAUCCUGCCCCUUCCAUUUUGCAUUUUUCUACUUCUGUUUUAUUAUUGGACACCUUCCCCAGGUUUUUUUUUUAAUUAUUUUAAAAAAUGGAUCCAGCCUCACUUUUUAUUUAACAACUGAAUAUGAAAUCCAGCUUGAUUGUAAUAAAACUUUAAGGCUCCCUGCGGUGUUUGCAGAAAGGUGAGGAUGGAAGAACAAACAAACAAACCCACCUUAUGAGCAGUGCUGGAUUUAUGUAUAAGCUAAACAAGCUAUAGCUUAGGGCCCCACUCUUUUGGGGCCCCCAAAAGAAAUCAAAAGGGAAAAAAAACUGGAUGUACAUUUCC